This 406-nucleotide ribosomal RNA is filed under the name uncultured bacterium. RNAcentral's name for it is "partial 16S ribosomal RNA". It matches the Rfam family "Bacterial small subunit ribosomal RNA", at positions 30 to 526 of the family's 1533-position model. The record is from RNAcentral.
AUUGAACGCUGGCGGCAGGCCUAACACAUGCAAGUCGAGCGAGCGGCGGACGGGUGAGUAAUGUGUGGGAAACUGCCUGAUGGAGGGGGAUAACAACUGGAAACGGUAGAUAAUAUCGCAUAUCAUCAGAUGUGCCCAGAUGGGAUUAGCUAGUAGGGGGGGUAAUGGCUCACCUAGGCGACGAUCCCUAGCUGGUCUGAGAGGAUGACCAGCCACACUGGAACUGAGACACGGUCCAGACUCCUACGGGAGGCAGCAGUGGGGAAUAUUGCACAAUGGGCGCAAGCCUGAUGCAGCCAUGCCGCGUGUAUGAAGAAGGCCUUCGGGUUGUAAAGUACUUUCAGCGAGGAGGCGUUACUCGCAGAAGAAGCACCGGCUAACUCCGUGCCAGCAGCCGCGGUAAUAC